Molecule: long non-coding RNA, 343 nt
Organism: Podarcis raffonei (Aeolian wall lizard)
Lineage: Eukaryota; Metazoa; Chordata; Lepidosauria; Squamata; Lacertidae
Exons: 2
Source: RefSeq, a predicted model, not a curated record
GUCAAAUCUCACAGCAGCCAGAGUAGGUGAGGGAAUGGCUGGAGGGAAAAUGCCUCUCCCAUCCAGUGAGCACCUCAGGAGAAGAUUCAUAACAGAAAUGGGAGAAAAUUGGUUCUGAAAAAUAUCAAGGAUUCCCUUUGCCGACACUAUUACUGCUCAGCCAGGCGUCAAAUAUCUUGUUUAUUUAAGAAAAGAAAAGACAAUUAUGGCUUGAUCAAAUGAAAUCUUACAUGUUCUCCAGUCUUUUGUUCAUCUUUGUCACUAUGGCAAUGUCUCUAUGGCAAUACUGCAUAAUGAAAAAUAAACCAGACACAGAUCCCUUAUUCCUGUGACUGUAAUCUUU